UACGUAGGGGGCAAGCGUUGUCCGGAUUCAUUGGGCGUAAAGAGCGUGUAGGCGGCCAGGUAGGUCGGUUGUGAAAACUGGAGGCUCAACCUUCAGAGGUCGACCGAAACCAGCUGGCUAGAGUCCGGGAGAGGAGAGUGGAAUUCCUGGUGUAGCGGUGAAAUGCGCAGAUAUCAGGAAGAACACCCGUGGCGAAAGCGGCUCUCUGGAACGGUACUGACGCUGAGACGCGAAAGCGUGGGGAGCGAACAGG
RNAcentral lists this ribosomal RNA (253 nucleotides) under uncultured bacterium. Its description in RNAcentral is "partial 16S ribosomal RNA". It matches the Rfam family "Bacterial small subunit ribosomal RNA", at positions 524 to 776 of the family's 1533-position model. The record is from RNAcentral.